UUUGGCGGGAGCUCCUUACAUCUGGCCUGCUGGAGAAUGGUCUAAGGGACAAUGGGGGUGUAUCUUUCUAUUGCUAUGAAGGUAAUUAAAAGUAUGAAAGGGGUCUCAUCCUGUAUGCAGCGGGAGCUUUGAGAAGUCUUAAACCCAUUCAAGAGCCUGGGAAAUGCGCUCAGGGGUUAAUGUCACUAACAGAUUGCCUCAGUGAAAGAAGAAUAUGGAAGGAUCCUCACGUCCCUUUGUGCGCCAAUUGUUCGUAUCCACUCCCAGUGUGACUUCACCUCAAUGAAGAAGUAAACGAGGGAACUUGGUUAGACUUUGUUUGUAUGAUGGCGCCGAAACCUGAAGGCUCUCAGCCAAAGUUUCAUUAGGAUUUUUUAAAACGUCAGCCCAUGUCUCCCUCUCACUCCCUCUGGUAAAAUACUCAGCCUAAAUUAUUGUUAAAUUCUUGAUCAACAGUUUGUCAGGUGCUCUCUUUUCUCAGCCCCCUCCAUCCUCCCUGUCUCUGUUUAUCCCUGUGCGUAAAUUACCUUCCCGGUGAGAGGGGUCCGGAACUAAGAGCUGUGUCUCCGUGUUGGUCGGCGUGGCGCUGGCCGUGUGUCAGACACUUGCAGUCAGAGGGCCCCUUUGCUCGGGAUUAUGUUUCAGCCCGGUCAAAACCCCUUAACAUUUAAUACUCCAGCGGCGCGUCGCGGGUGCGCAUGGCAGCCACAGGCCAAACAUAAGUCAGUUUUGAAGUGUUUCAGCCCUGCUAGACUACUCGUAUACACAAACAAUUUCACAGAAUCAUUUCACGUUUCUUGGCGUGCGUAAAAGUUAUGUGAGUAAGACCUGGAGCGCAAAACCCUGGAGACAUCCCCUCUACUGACCCUAUAUUGUUGUGAUGUCGUGUUAAGACAGAAAAUAUUUUUAAUAAACUCAAAUAAAAGGAGGAUAAAGGAAAUUGAUGUAAAUACUUUGGUUAGAGGUCGGGAUUGAAAUGAAAAGGCAACAAGCAUUUGCAGCAUCUAGAGAAGACAUAUCACAAUAAAAAUAAAUGCUCUCUAACGUAGCCCCUGUGAAUCUCCACGUAUUUAUCACUGGCAGCUUUCACAUCCUGUCGUAAUUAUUUUCAUCGAACAGUUGAACUGCCUUGUCAAAUCAUGUAGUUGCGUUCUUGCUUUUACCCAGCUGCGUGCCAGUGCCCUGCAGAUGACACCGUGGGUAAAUGGCAUAGUGAAACCCUGCUGCCACUGGUGCUGGAGCAGCUUCCUUUUGCGAUCAGGCAAACUGAAACACCAGUUGGCAGCGUGUGUGGCUUCUGUGGUCGUUUCUACUGCCUUCGUGUCUGAGUUAAUAGUUCAGAGAUGCCUUUGUGGAGCUGAGGUCGUGAGAACCGAGCGAACUAGUCUGCCUGCGGUCGGGCACUGCGCCAGUCAGUAAAUCCCCGCUGGCAGGCGGAGGUGAGGAGGCGAACACACACACGCGUGGCCGCCAAGAAGCGAACUCUUUUCGGUGUAAACAUGAGGGAUCCUGGGGGGACUCGGAUAAAACACCAAACACUCAAGGAGAUGACUGAGAUAUUUCUAAUUUUAUUAAGAAUUAUUUUAUCAGGAUUUAGGCACGACCACGUGAAAGCUGCUGCGCAAUCCCCGUGGUCAUGGACAUACAGGGCAGUAUGAGGUGACGCACAGAAACCAGCAGCUCACCCUUUUGCACUUUUACGCAUCAGCAUGAGCAAGGGUCAUAGUAUCACUGGGUUUACAGCAAGCUGACCGAAUAUCCAGAUGUGGGUUGGCUGAAUUCUGACUUCUAAAUUUAUUCUUUGCUCAGGGUUUUUAAUAUCUGCCUUCAUCAUCUCGAUAACAUGCAGCAAUCGAAUCAGGCGGGAAUCCCUGUUCGGUGAUGAAAAGGAUUCCUAUAGAUGGCAAGAUGUCCCUCGGGGACUUGCGCCAUUACGUCCCCUGGGAGAAGUCGCCAUUGAAGGAGGGGUAGGGGUCAUCAGAGGAGCCACAAAUUAUCAUUCUCAUUAGCGACUGAAUAGAGGAACGCGCGCACCACGUUGCCGCCAAACCUUUAACAUCACAUCUCCCUCCAAAUUUACAACUGCUAUUGUUGCACUGGGCCUUGUUUUGCCAGCAUUAUAUAAUUCUUAUGCGGCUCCAACAAGGACAUCUGUAUAAGUUUCUGAAAUAAGGAAAUGUAAGAAGUAAUACGCACAACAUGCUUAGUUUUUUCAUAUGCCAGCCAGGCUUUGGUUGAUCUUUACUGAAGUGAAAUAAGGAACUAAUGCAAUUGCUCUGCGUCAUCUGUUUCAGUCAGGUUUAAUGUUAAAAAAUGAUUAUCUCCACAACUUUCGGUUGACAGAUCUUUAACAGCUACCAUACAUUAAAAAGUUCCAGUCACCAAUUUUAUUAUCUUUCCAGGCAAAAGGUUUUUCUCAUUGUUGGUAAAAUUAGCUCAUUUUCAUAUCUUUAUCUGGAUGGUGUGAUUGUUAGAUGCCAGAAAACACUUUUUACAACCAAAGUAAUCAUGUAAUUUUAUCUGAUUAUUUCCAAAUAAUCAGUAAAAAAAUAAGACAGAGAUUAUAUCUUUCAAUCAAUCAACAAGUCAUUAUAUGGACACAUACAGAAGCAGCUACACUGGCAGCUAGUCCUCCAAGUCUGUAUUUAAGUGUAGAAAGGAGGCUUGGAUUGUUUGAGAGCUCCUCUGUCUGUGAUGACAGGCUAUAUUUGCCCCUCAAUCUGAAGAGGCUGCAGCUACAGGGACAGAGUGACAUUUUCUGCAUGCUUUAGCCACAGGUUCUGAUAUUAGAUGAGAGGCAGGGCUAGAGUAUGCAACAAACAUUAAGUGUGUGACAGUUUGUGAGUGACUGCCUAAACUGGACACUUCUCCUUGCACCUGUUUUUUUAAGAAUCGCAGAGGGCGAUAGGGAGAGGCAGCUAAGGAUGACAUGAUACACAGGAGGUGUUGAGACUAAGGAAAGAUGUUAGAGAUGUUUCUCUGGAGUGUGGGAUUUAACUGUGAUUAUUUUAGGCUUUGGUUUUCAGAGAGGAAAUCAUGUUAGCAGCAACAAUACAAACUUAUUUAAUUUUCCUUAGUGUCAUAGCACAUCAGAUUCACUGGCACCUUGUUAACAGGUUUUCAUUUCUAUGUUUGAACACUCUCACUCUUCUGGCCCACUCCAGGCUUCCAUCCUGUCUCAGUAUUUAUAGUAAGAGAGCACUUAUUCCCUGCCGGGUGUGAGGUGUUGGGUGUGUGCAGGUGAGGCAGGGUGGGCAGACGCCACGGGACACAUCAAAUGGGAUCAAAUAUCACAGGGUCUGGGUGCUGUGAGGGCUCCCCCUGAUCCUCACCGCUUGUUUGCCAUAUAUUUCUGUAGCCAAGUUUGGCUUUUCAGCAGCUUCUCCUGUUUCAAGGCAUGAGGCAUGAGGCCUAAGGUCUUUGCAACUGGUGCAGAUUCCACAGGAGAAAGUUAAGGGUCCUCUUGACAGGGCGAGAGGUCAUCUUGCAGACUUCUUGGUGGCCUUAAAGAAGUCCUGACCCUAAUGAAGACAGUUUUUAUUUAUGUAUUUAUCUGCUCAGGACUUGUCCCUGCUUUUCCCCCUGCAGCUCUGGCAGCUGUUGCUCUAUUUCACCUCUCGUCCUUUCCAAGAUAAAUACUUUAAUAAUGGUUUCCUAAUGUUGGAAAUGUAAAACAGCUCAGAGAUGCAAUGAUGUAGCUGCUUUUAUGUGGGACAAAAUCAGUGUUAAGAAAGUAUAAGCAGUCCAUCAGAUAAAUGUGUGAUUGGGCAAUGUUAAAGAUCUUGCCUAAAAUUUAAACUUGACCUAACACAGAGCCAUGUAACAAUAAAGAACAUAUUUUGUGAAGCAAACAAUAUACAAAUUUAAAAGGGUCAAAGAAAAAGCCUUGAAGGGUUUAUUAUCAAUCCACAUAUGAGAAAGUUAGUCAUUUGAUAACAGUAAACUGGGGAUUAGAUUAACAAAACACAACCACAUAAACCCUCUGCCUGAGAAGUACAAGACACAGGACAAGAGACAGGCCCCACUCCACAUGCCCCCACUUUUAAGGUCAGCACUGGACCUUUUGUGCACAUAGGACCAGGUGCAGCUCAUUGAGUGGACACAUCACUUGCAGAGUGUCAGACAACACAGAGGUAAACGGAACCCCUGGAAGAGGGCAAAGAUACAAAUGUAACAACUGUCUGAAUCAUUAGGAUGGUGCAUGUACCAUCUAUCUAUGAAUACAGAGGUCUAAAUGUAGAUUAUAUACACUCAGAUAUAUACAUUAGACUUAACAAUGUGUUUGCACGGUUAAGGAUUUUAUGUGAUGACCAUAGAAAUGUUUUGUUGCCGUUAAACUGUGUCUGAGAUGACAGAUUAAAAAAAAAAAAUUAUAGGAUAAGUCAUAUAGUAUGGAGUGCAUUGUCAAGUUUUAAUAUCCAUAAUAUCAAAAAGAUAAGCAAAUUUUAUCACCGAAGUGUGUGUGUGUGUGUGUGUGUGUGUGUGUGUGUGUGUGUGUGUGUGUGUGUGUGUGUGUGUCUGAGAGUGACUGGCUGUCUGUCUCACUACAUGCCCAGACUUGUCCCCACUUUGACACCUGAGAACAUCAUGAGCAUUGAUCUGACUCAUACCCUUUCAAGAUGCCAUUUUUAAGAUGCCACUUUGUUUCUUGUUUCUAUCACUAUUGUUUUCUGUUUCUGUUCAUCUUUCAUGUGUGUGUAUGUGUGUUAACAUGUUUGCAUUGUGAGGUUAGACAGCAGUGUGAGAAACACCCUCUGACCCAUUUCACUGACAGAUGCAACAAGAUUAAAGUUUUUUAUUUAUUUACUUAUUUUAAAAUUCAGACUAAAGGCCACCGUUGUUUGCUUUAUAAUGUUCAAUAAGAGACAUGUUGAGAACAUCAAACACAGUGGUCCCUAAAGAGAAAGCAGCUGCCCACUGGUGGCCCCUGACAGUACUGUGGCUUGGCAGUAAGAGCUACUUAAUAAAUAUGAACGUUUUAACUUCUAAUAUCCAAAUAAUUUGAUUGCAAUGAGAUUGCCAUUUUAGUGCUUCUUUGGAAUUGUUGGGUGUAUGUGAAUGGAUAUGUCUUAGUGCUGCAUGUAUAUUUCUGCAUAAAAUUUAACAGUGUAUUAAACGAAAUAAAUAAAUAAAUAAAUGGAGUACAUCUUCUUGAGUGUUGAUCAGAGCUUUUUGUUGUAAGUUUUCUAGAAUAUUUUUAGAUUUCAAAUAAUGCUGGGUCAUUCUCAUAACUCUUUCAAAGAGUUAUAUAAUAGUCUGAUUGACAGCUUGGAUUCAAAUUUCACUGGAAAAUGAAACGUCCACAUCAAUCAUGAAUAUGAGCUUCUGAAUAUUUAAUCAGGUAUACACAAUGAAAUCUAGUGUGUCUGUGUUUCUGUCUACCUGCCCACCUGCAGGUCUGUCUGGCUCGCUGUCUAUGAGGCAGAAAAAAAAGGAAAAAAGUGUCCCUGAUCCUGGCCACUAGGGGGGACAUGAAGGUCAGCCUGGUUUACCCUCUUUCAAAACCAAAUUUAAGCUCAAACGCUUACUUAUUUCCCAUUAAGGCAAGAAAGCAAUAAAAAAAGCUGUUAAGUCUUUUCUUGUAGUGUAAUUUUUAAAAAUCUGAAUUAUUUAGUCUAUCACGACCCUACUUGCUUGGCUAAUUGUGUAUUUACGUAGUUGAUGUAUAAGGUUCAAGGCAUGUGCUUUUAUUUUGAAGGACAUUUCACGUGCAGUAAAACGGAAAUCGUGCUAUACCGAAGGGAGUCGUUAAUUUAUGGCCUGAAAAAAGGAAAACAAUGUUGUUUUAUAUGAAACAGUUUACACAGUGUCAUUCGUGCAAACGUAUGUUACAUUUUCUAGUCUUGCCUAAUAAGAUGGUAAGACUCUGCAUGCCAGCAAAGAUGCUGUGUUGUUUAGUUCGAGAUUUAAUGUAGGCCUACGGUAUUUGGCGUGUUAAUGUUCCACUUGUCAGUACGAUCCCUUUCAUACAGUAACAGGAUGGUUGGAGCUACAGUGCUUAUCUGUCACCUACUGUGUGUUAAGUUAUGUUUAAUGUUAAUUCUGAAUUAAAUGUUAAUUUAGAUCCUCCCUGCAGCACUACUUCGGCUUGUCAGUUGAUCUAGGUUGUGGAAAAAUGUAACACCUGUUUUAUUCCCUUUUAUUUGUUCUUUCAGGGUGUUCAGAGCAUGUCUUGAAACUUUUGAAGUCAUAGUUUCUAUGAUUUAUUACUCGAAGACAGCCUGCUCCAUACUCUGAGGAGCCACUUUUCAAGCCCACUAAAGGUAAGUUUUCUGACUCAUCAGUUUUUAAUGUAGACUCUCUGUUUUACAGAACAAACAGGACCCUUUAAUACACCAGAUGAUCCAUAAUGUUUGUGGUCAAGCCUGAAAAUCACUUCUUUGAUGGAGCAAAUGCUAUGUAUCCCAAACAGAAAAGGCCAUUUUAAUGCACCACGGCCUCUCUAACUCUGACAGUGAAGCUAACAAAGAUAAAACUAUAAAAUAUCAGAUCUCUACUUUCUGAAGAGGGGUAUGCUAUGCUGCCUUUCAUGAAUCACUCAUUCUACAGAUAUGCCUGACAAUAAUUUACUAUAUCUGAGCCUUGGGUUGUAUUCAGAGGCUGGUUUUGUCAUCAUUUGCAUUUUAACAUCUGUCAAAAUGAUUUAAAAUACCAUUUUGUUGUAACUGGAACAUAACCUGCAACUUCAAUUUCCCUUUGGCUUUCUAAUGCUUCCAGUCACUUUCUCUAUACAGUACAAAAACUGCAAAGCUCGCGUUCUGCAUGUUCCCUGCAGAUUAUUACCAGAAGAUGAAGGAAACUGUUUUAUUUUUAGCAAAUGAAAUCCUAGCACAUUUGACAGAAGGAUAUUCCACUUCAAGAGGUGUUGAAAAGCUGUAUUUCCUGAGCAGCUAUCCCACAGUACUGAGACCUGUGGUCCUCUUUGGACUCUGGCUAAGCUAGGUGGUGACAGCGGCACUGUUGUAAGAGAAUUAUCACUUCAGUCCUGAAGGGAGGGGGGUGUUGUUGACCGAACAGGAUGUCCUGGUGUCUGGUCCCUUCUCAUACGGGCUAUUCUUUCUGUGUCUGUGUCUGUGGACAUUGGGGAAAAUCCUUCAAACAGAUGUGACCACGACUUGAAAAGAUUCCAUCCCUUUUUUAAUGUUGGGAUCUUCCUGAACCUUACAUUUUGCUAGAACAACUUUUCCCCUUCUAAAAAUGGAGUUUGCCAACACAUGUAUUAUGACAGAAAAUGCUCGACAGACACUAGAAAUGCAUUUGGGUGAUUGGUGCAUGUCGCUUUGUCUUUGCACUGCGUGUGGUAGAGAGCUGGAGUUAUGAGAUGAGCUCUUCUCUCUUUUUUUCUUUUUCUUUCUUCUGCCCUCUCUGCCUCUUUUCAUGCCCUGGGAAGGUAAACACUCAUCCUAUUUGCUCUUGUUUUUCUUAUAGUAACUGUUGAGCAGUGUGUGCUCCACUCAUGGUUUUAUUGCCUGGAUUGUCAUGCAAGAGGCAGGGGAGACAAGUGUCAAUAAGUGGAUGGGCUCAUUCCAAACAAACGCGCCCGGAGAAUGGGCAAAGAGAGCCCAGGAUGCAGCUGGGUACACACACACAGGCACACACACAGACACACACAAACACUCAGAGACUUGCAACAAAUUGUUCCUUUAUGUCUACACCCUGGAGACAUUAGUCCAACAUGACUAACACAAGAUACAGUAUCUGUACAGCUGAAGUAGCAAUAAAUUCCAUUUUAAAACACCUCUGGGACAAAAUGCUCUGCUAAAUUGUCUUACCAGUUGAACCUUUCACUAAGAAAGGAUCUAUCACAGUUCAGGUCUUUAAAGUAACAGGACCUAAAUCUGCUUACACUGCAGAGACACCUGAACUCUUUCAGUGCCCGUUUUUCAGCCAGCUGUACAAAAUGAAAACCACAGCUGCUGUGGGGAACGUUUGGUUUGUGUUGACUUUAUUGAGCCUAGAAAGUGCAGUGUGUCAUUCUCUGCGGGUCUUGACCUCUAUAUGCAUGAGUGUUCCUGUGGAAAAGUAUCUUCCUACUUUUAUACAGUCAAAAGUAACAGCUACUGUAGGGGCUGGAAAACACUGUGUGACUCCCAAUACAGUAUGACAUAAUUCUACACGACACAGUAAUGAUAAGACCCUUGUACAAUAGCAGUGCAAUAAUCAGCACACUGUCGUCAAUUAUAUCAUGAUCUCAAUGAGGUUUUCCUAGUUAGAUAAGAUGUGAUUAAAAUAUGUUGCAGGACAGUCUUGCAGCGAUAUUUGCUAAUGUACGAUUAUCUGAAGAACAUGCAUGCUUCCUGUGCUCUCUCCCUAUUUCUUGUUCCCACGCUCUCUGAAUAAAAGUGUUUAAGCCUCAAAAACAUUCAUAAAAAAGUUACAUUUCAACUAGAGACACACCUUUGUGUUUGACAGGCAAAAUCAACAUCUGUUUGUAUACAUGUUCACAUUUUGUGCUUAAACUUACAUAAUUAAAAAACCUGUUUUGACAUUAAUACUCAUCACUGUCUGUGACUUCCAUUGAGUCUUUCUCAGUCAUCUUCCAGGUUUUUUCUUCUGUGAAAUUCUGACAUAUAAGUCUUGUGCAUCAAUGAGUUUGUAGCAUGUAGAAAUGCAUUUCCCGUGCUGCAACAAUAUCCCACCCCUACUUUCCAUGAAUCUUGAAAAUGUAAAUGAACGCUGUUUCAGCAGCAUGCAUUCACUUCCGCAUCGAACACCUUUACCUGCUGUGGAUUUUACAGGCAGUCACAUAAGCCAUGUAGUAACAAUGAAUAUUCAAGCCGAUGAUCUCUUCUGCUUUUAUAGGUCAUGUUUAGUUCCAUGCUUUUUAUAACCAGCUAAAAACUCCUCACUUGAUCUUUUUUAAAAGUUUUAAAGUCUGAUCACGCAAUCUUCAGGAAUUUUUCUGCUUUUUUAACUGAACUAUUAGAAAAUUUAUAUGAAAGGGGGACAGACCUAGUAAGUGAAGAUUCUUAACCAGUAAGCAUGAGACUGAGACAAAGAAUACAAUAAAGCAAUCUUAACAUAAAGGGCACGUCAAAGGUGUACCUGUCAGACGAAAACCUUAUUUAAAGCAUCAAUGAGUAAAAAACAGAUAAGGAAAAUGAAGUGUUUGUAAUCCAUGUUGAUUUUAAGAAAAAUGCUGUAAAGAAAGCAUUAGUCAGUUUAAAAUAUACAACUGAUAUACCAGGAAAUUUGAAGACACAUAAUCCAUCAACACUUCCCAAUUCUCCUGCACACAUCUCUCAUCCCUCUGGCAUAUUCUUAUCUUAAUGACAAACAGCCUUUUGGUGCAACUACACAAAGGACUGACAGGAGGUAAACACUGACUGAAGCUGCCUUGUGGCUCAGUUUGUGUCUCUCUUUCUCUUCUUAGAUGGAUCACCCGUCCCACACGACCCACUCACCUCCAGCCGUGUUCUGCUCUCCAAAGUAGAGAGUGGGCCUCAUGAUAAAUACAUGGCAAUGUUGAUAAGAUUAGGACAGGACAAACACACACGAGGGGCACCCUGUAGCAUGUUAUUCUUGUAAUUCAGCUCUCCUCUUGUGAGCGUGUGGAUGUGUGACUCCCACUGAUGCCCUCUGUCUCUGUCUCUUCCUGUUCUUUACUGUAUUUUAUUUGUUUAGGGGUGAUGUUGCAUUUGUUCUCUAGUUUCAAUGCCAUUGACGUAUUGAAAGAGUUAACAGGAUGGUGAAGUGGAUAAAUUAGGUCUUUAUCUCGGUCCUCUUCCCUAAUGUAAUCAAGCUCAAUAAAACUCAAAAAUAGAAAUGUGUUUGUCAAAAAGCAGCGUUCCUGUCACUGAGUCUUGCUUUAAAGACUGACACAAACACGACAGGUUGUAAGUGGAAAAAUGUAUCCAUAAAUGCAAAUUAUUAGCAAAUUUAUUGCUACAUGCAAAUUCCUUCACAUGUACCAGUGUAAAUGUUGUAGCAGCAGUUACCUCCAAAGUAUAUAUCUCUGUGCAUGGAUCAUGCUACAGCUGAUGUUAGGUUAACCUUUGAUGCUUAGGUGACUGAAUUAACCACAUGGUUCCUUGUGAGAAAUGUCACAUUUUCUGUCAUAAAAAAACUCUUGUAGGUGCAUCAGUGAGACUUCUAACCACUGUGAGGUCUGGAAACAAUCUGAUAGGAGUGUUGACGUCUGUGUGAGUCAAUGCGUGUGUGUUUGUUCCUGUGUCAUUUGCCCGGCCUACCCCCUGCUGUGUUGCCCUGCGUUGACUGACAGCACCACUGCGGCUGUACAAUAGGUGAUCUUUGCUCUGUGUCUGACUGUAUAAACACAGAGCGGGAUGGCUCCCUCAAGCAGAACUCCAGUAUUGAUCACUUUGGUGAGAUCCCACAGCCACGCUCAUUGUCCUUUGGCCCUUUCUCUCCUGCCAAUCAAUAGCUCUUUGUGUUGAUUUUCACCCAUUGACAAAUCACUCUGCCCCAUUGCCUUUGUUAAGCUGUCAAUCAAGCGGAAGGUAUCGCCUUAUUUGAUCCUCAUUCAGACCAGGGUUUUAUAUUUCAAAUGAAAGCGGGUACACUCAGUACCACACAACAAAUCUUACAUCGAUGUGAAGAGCAGCAAUGAUCAAAUGAGUGUCCUUUUUGAAAACAGCACUUGACAUGUGGCACAAGAUUCAACUCUGAUGAGGAUGAACGGUUAGCAUUAUUUUUCAAGUCAUCAGUCAGACAUUUUUGACACUGGUUUGGUGGCAUUUUUAAGAAAGAAAAGAAUAUAUUUACUUUCCUGCUAAAAACCAAAAAAUCUCCACAAAGCUAACUGCAAAUUAAUAGCUUGUAUUAUUAACUGUCAUCCUUUGGGUCCAACAAAGCCCGUCUCAUCAAGCUGUCAGCAGAUAAAAGUCGUGCGAGUCAUUAAACCUCAUUGUUUAAAUGAGAUCUGUGAUCCUGAGAAUGUGAGCUGAGUCCUGCUGAGUCAGCUGACUGUGAUUAAGACGACCUGACGGAGAGGAACAGAGAGAGAGACGUGAUCAGCAGCUGUCACACACUGACAUUAGCACAUACCUAAGCCUUAUAGAUUCACGGUGCACAGUUAAGUAAGUCUGAUGGAGUUUAUAAUUCCCCUUUAUCAUGUGCUAGUUACCCUUAAUAAAUACAGUGUCAUUUUUUUUUUAAACUGUGAAAACUGUGUUUCCUCUGCAGGGAAAUAUUUCAGUGCUUUACAGGAUAACAAACCUUUGCCUUUGUGAAACAGAUUUCAAAAUUUCGUAGACCGAAUGCAAAGCACAUUCUUGUUUUAACAUAGAUGUAGAAGCCUUGUGUCUGGGUAUGAGUUUUGUUUUCAGUAAUGUUUUUUUAAGGACAAGUAACUACCUCUUAUAUAUUGUCAUCCAGCCAAAUAUUUGUACGUCUGCUAGUUUUAUUCUGGUUUUGGAAUGAAACGGAUGGAGUUCAAAUCUUAAGCCUUUGAGAUUAGAUAUAGAGAUGCAUUUUUCAGGAGUUUUUGGGUGUUCAAAUCUGUAUAGAUGCCACCCAUUGGUAUCUGCAGAAGAGUUUUGAAGCCUGUUGAUGGGGGAUGUAGUGCUGAAAUACUGAUUAAACCUAAACUAAAGGUGAUUAGGGUUAACUGAGGUGGGCCUAAAGCCUCUUGCUUACAGCUACAGUGUGCCUACCCAUCAGUUGACUUUUUCAUAUUUAACUGAGACUUGGAUCUUUCUCUAAUGUCAACCAAGUGCUGUACAUAACCAUUCUCAGGAAAGAAAGAAAUAGAUUUUAUUUUAAUAACAUUGUUUGAUAAUGUAAUGGAAUUAAACCCACGCCCAGCCAAAAAAUAAGUCACACACUUAAAUAUUUCAUUCCAGAGUCCGACCAGUGCACUGCAUUGGAGAGUCUUCUCCUGCACGUCCAAAGGUUUCUCAGUGGGGUUAGGGUCUGGACUUUUGUGGUGGCCAAUCCAUGUGUGAGAAUGAUGUCCCAUGCUCCCAAAACCACUCUUUCACAAUCACAUCCUGAUGAAUCCUGGUAUAACCAUCUGUCAUACCCACAUCAUAGGCACUAGGCAUGAUGGGUGCAUCACUUCAUCCAUCGCUCUCCUCACUCUGAUACACCCAUCGCUCUGGAAUGGAGUAAAUCUGGACUCAUCAGACCACACGACCUUCUUCCAUUGCUACAGAGUCCAGUCUUUAUGCUCUGAAGAGUAAUUACCCAUGCAGUUAUCAUUCAAUGGGAGGGGUUCUUUCAUAUUUGCUUAGUUCAAUCUAGGUGGUGACAUUUUUGGCCAGUGUAUUUAUUCUGUUAAAAACCAGACAGGUCACACACCAAAAUCCUGCAUCGAUCAGCUAUAAUGCACUAAAUGCAAUGCAGUUAAAACAAAAUUAAGGAGAUCUUUUUUCAUCCUUUUACUAUUCUGUGCCUUUUGGCUCACUGUAGUUGAGGUGCAACAGUUUCUUACUAAUACUUGCUGAAGUCAUGGUGGAAAAUUACGACACCAUUGCUAAAUCGCAUACCUUACUAAUUUUCAGACGGCUCAGUUGAUGGGUCAAAAUUAAAAUGCACUUUAUUUCAAAUGAUAUCAAAAGAUCACCUAAUUAACAAUUACACCUCCAAAACCUGUGCAGGCAAAGCUUUAAUAUAACAUUUAUGAUAUCAGUCUACAGCUUCCCCAAGAUUCAUUUAUCAUUGUCUAAUUUCUGGGUUCUUGUGACUCUGGCCCUUGCUUUAUACACCACAUAAACUCUGACAAGCUGACUCAUGAAUAAGACACCUGCUGGAUAUCAGCCUCCUCUAUUGUGACAUUGUUUCUGUUAACCAGAGCAAAGUUUGAUUGGAAGUUUGACCUUUUUGUUGAAGUAGCCAGCGUCUAUGAAAUAAUAACCUACUGCUGUCAUUGUUUUUCAUUCCUUUAUCAUCUUCUGUCUGUAGGUCUGUCUGUCUGUCUAUGGAUACUUCUGUGAACGCAGCUUGGUUUCCACGUAUGUGUUUAUCCCAUGGUGCAGCCCAUUCUUUCAAACAUGGCCUGUUGCCAUGAGUCAGUGGCGAUGGUCAGAGGUUUACACUCCUAGACACAACAGUCUAUCCGAGAAAAACAACUCUCUGAUGCCUCGGUCUUCCUAUAUUGUCUGGUCUGAUUCCGAGUUGGAGAGAAGCUUAUUGUUUGGAUGUCUUUGUAGUGCAGGUCCAUUGCUGCGGAAUGUGGGGAUUUCCUCCCUCGCGGGUAUUUUUAGAUCUCUGUGUGAAUUCAAGAGAGCUCUGCAUAAUACUGUGCAGUGUGGGGUCCAAGGGUGGGGUCUGUAUGCUCGUGCACAUGUGUGGGAAUCUGAGUCUGCUCAUUACAGGAAGGAUGUGUGUGUGGGGUCAUAUUUAUGUCAUAUUAAACCAGGAUCAGGACCCUUCAGUGAAAGGCUUCAAUAAGAAGAUGCUGGAGUAUCAUACUACAGUCCAGGUUGAUUUAGGCGUGUGCUCAGCCUCUAUUUGAUUUGAAAUUUCAUGGUGUAUUAAACUUCUCUUUUUGGUUUGACAGCCCCAGAUUUGUGUGUCAGCGAAGAAGUGGUCUGGUCUGGACACCGUGUGCUAACGCAUUUUGAAAGGGCUUCAGAAGGUCCCUCAGGGGUCUCUGACCUCCCAGGGUAAUGUUCUCCUCCAGGUCUCUCUUUUUGACAGCGGUCAAAGGAGGCGUCCAUGCACGGAGCAGGCGGGCGGAUGACUGGGGUGAAUCAGGGGAAUAGACAGGUCAUAUCCAGAAGGACCUGUCACUUCCGAAUCAAACGGAGUAUCAUCUCCUUCCGGGUCUCACUCAAAACCUGUCACCUAAGCUGACAUGGAGUGACACAUCGGCUUGACCCGUCUUAUAUUUAUGGUUGUGUGUGUGUGUGUGUGUGUGUGUGUGUGUGUGUGUGUGUGCGUGCGUGCGUGUGUGCGUGCGUGCGUGCGUGCGUGCGUGCGUGCGUGCGUGCGUGUGUGUGUGUGUUUACCAAGAGUCCUUAGCCAAGUUAGCACCACUAUCUGGCUAUUCUCACACAGAGUAUUGAUUUGAGAAAAAUACAAGCAGCUGUAUUCUAACAUGCUAAAAUUACUACUGUUAACCUAAAAUUGCUUUGUACAUUGAGUACAAUAAAAUCUUAUUUUUACAUGUGAACAUGCUAGCUAUCAAAAACCAAACAAAUGUAAGAUAUAUUUACAUUUUAUCUCUAAUAUGGUGCCAGAUGUUGAGAUUAAAUUUGAUUUGAUUAGUUUAGAUCAGAAAGCUAAUUCACUUCCAAGUCAAUCCUUAUAUACAACAAAGACAACACACUCACACCAUAAAUAAAGUAAAUAAAUAACACUAUUAAAAUCAUUUGGGGUGUAAUUUAUAGCCAUGUAUCAGUAACGCAACUAAAAGUGUUCAUCAAAAUAUCUGACUGCUCCUUUAGUGUUUUGGCAGUACACUCAGGUAUCACAAGUUGGCCCCACUAAAUUGAGUCUAUGAAUUUAUUAAAAACACCAUGUACAGUAAAAGGUUGCCUUCAAAGAUCUGAUCACUUUUUAAUUUAGCAUUUCAAGAGCUUCAUUUGGCCUAAGAGGGAUGUUAGUGUCUGUGGUGCAGUAUCAUGGAAAUCUUUCGAGUACUUUAAAGUAAGUAGAGACAGAUCUAAACAUUUUUAGAUACAGUUGUAAAAAUAUUCAAGAAUAUAACUAAAAACUUAACUAUUAAACUGUGUAAUUAAGGGCUGCAACCAACACUCUUUUUAGACAACCAUUUAUUCAUAGUAAUAUUAAAGUAAAGUAACCAUUUUUCUGUUUUUUACAUGUAACGUAACAUCAUUGAUUAAGACUAUGUUCUCUAUGUAAUACUCAAUACAAAAAAUACAACCAUUUCACUUGUCCUUCACUAACAAUGGCUUUGCCCGGUUUAACAGAGGUUCUCCCCCUGAGAACAAGCUGCACCUGCACAAACUAGCUCUCUGUGGUCAAAUGUGGGACCACAGGGUGGGAAAGUUCAGGAAAGAGAAGCAAAGUUAUGGUGCUCUGUAAAUUGAAAAUGGGUUACCACAGUUGUUCAACCGUCUAAGGCAAAACAGUGAAAACAUGAUUGAACAGAUUUAUCACCUUCUUCACACAAACUAUAACAGUUUGAACCCAAAAUUUCUUUGUUGUCAUGUUUUGAGUGUUUACAUCUCAUACCUUUUAACAAAUAUAUUCACCUUAACUCAAAGUUGAGUGGAAUCGCGUUGGUGUUUUCAGAGCUAGUGAAAAAAGAGUAUGUGCACAGCCUGAAGUGACUGGUUGACCCCAUACUCCCCCCUGCUAUGCCUGUGAUGACAUCACCACAUAUUUCAGCAGUGAGUAAUGAAAUAGGUCAACGUUAAAUGUCUUGUUCACACACUGCUUAUCUUCCCUAAUGGAAUUAGACCUCCCCUAACCUCACGCCUGUUCUCUGAGGGAUUUCCCUUCAAACAUUUGCCGAGCUUGUGUUCAUAUCACUGUGCUGAUUAUCCCUCUUUUUAUCUUAAAACCACCUCAGUUGUUUUUCCUCAGCGUGCCAGAAAUCCAGAAAGCCUAGAAAUAGCCUGCUUAGGAAUGUCAGACUAUACCAGUAGUUGUUUCCCACUUUUCCACAUUUCUCCUGGCAACUGCAAAUAUUAAACUUCAAAUUAAACUGCUGCUCAGGAGCUCACUUAAUAUUGGGGUAGAACACAGUCCCAAAGUUGACCAUGGACUCAUUAUACUUAAAGGUAGGAACUCAAUCAGACCCCUAUAUUAAGUAGGGCUGUUGGAAAUGACCAUACGUGUCUUUAGUAAAACAUUAAAUGUUGAUGUUGUGCUAAAAAUAUGGUUAUACUGAGAGUUCACAGUUGAGGUCCUUUACGCUGGUUAAAAGAAAAAGAGGCAGCGGACUGCUAUUCGCCCUCUAGAGGUUAUUUGGCCCUUUUAAAUUACUGAAAUGUUGUUGUAUUUUUCUCAACCCUAAUGGAACAUUGGAGCUUGAGCCUCUUUGGGUUACUAAGUAAUUAAACAUUUAUACUUUCUGACCACCCUUUUAACUGUUUUUAUUCAAUUAUGUAAUUUACUAUGUAUAACGUAGCUUAUGCUUCAAAAUAAAAGCAUAGCUUUCAGAUGUAGGAAAUAAAGCAACCUAAACACAAGACAAAACAUAAAUCAAAGUAAAAGCAUGACAAACACUCAUUUCAUGAGGCAAUGUCUUUAAGAGAAUAUAGGUUUCACAGUCAGUGAUGUGGAUAAAUAAUUGGAAAUAGAUGAUGACAUCUCAGUCAGCUUUGUUUAUGAAUAAUAUUAUUGGCGUUUAAGAUAUCUGAGCAUAUUUAAAAUAUGUAGCUCCUUCCUUGUCUUGUAUUUCCUCAAUUUUUCUUACUCUGUUAUUUUAAAUUACACAUCUUUCAUUAAUAUAUCAAUAAUCACUUGUAUGAUAUUUUAUGGCUGCGAUAAUCGUGAGGUGACAACGUGAUAUCGUUGGUUAAAUAGGAUGCAGUCAAGUCAAAAAGGACUAAUAGAUGUUAAAGAAAGAAAACAGCACUUAAUUUUUUUUUUCUUUUCAUCCAUGUGCAGUGGUAUACUGGAUUCUGAUACCUGCAACAGUGUUAUAAUCAACUCUUAGUCUGCCCUGUGGGCUGGAUAUCUCGUUCAUAUACAGUUGAAUUUCAAUAUAGUUUUUUGGCUGAUGGUUUGGAGAAUAGGAUGAGGUCAUUAUAGACAGAAGCUGUUAGUACUAAAUUUUCUGACGCAGUGAGAAUGUGAUCAUAAAGAUAUAAAAUCAUUCCACAGACACUGUGUGUUGUCCCCUUAUGCAAACAAAAUCAGAUAUGUUUUACAAAAAAACGUACAGUUUUUUUUUACGGAUUCACAGCUAAUUUUACAGUUUGUAUAAAGCUUGCAAGAAAACAGUAUUAUGUAUUGUUUUUAAAUAUGAUUACAGUAGAAAAAUAGCAGACCCAAACUCAGCUUAAUAAAGAAGAAAGAAAAGUUAACUACAGCACACCAGAAAUUAAAAGUUACGGUCACAUAGAGGGUGUUGGAUCAGUUGAUGAAAGUACUGACAUAUGGUUCUUUCUAUUAGGUCUUUUAGUUAAUUCUUUCUUCCUCUAUCUCCUCUCUUUCACUUUAAACAAAAAGCGGGGCCUUUAAUGUCCGUAUUAAUGUAGAAGCAGGUGGUAAAGAAGCCUUUGUUAAUCACUUAAUGAUGAAUACCCCCCACUUUACAUGGUGGCUUUUUCACCAGCCAUUUACUUCUUGUGCAUGGGCUGUGGAAACUUUAUAGAAAGUUUAUCUUACCAUGAAAUGAGUAGGCAAGGAUAAAUGGCUAACGUUGGGUUUUGUCCAUCAAUGCAGUCAGCCUAUUGGGGGUCCACCAACUGGGCAGGGUUGGACCAUAUGUCAUCAUUCCGACCCUUUGUGUGGGCGUUUCUCUGUGGCAACAGCAUCAGCUGUGGCCAUUGUGUGUUGGGAUUCAAUGGCCCAUAUAUUCAUUGCAGGGCUAGUGUGGGCCUCGCAACAGAAACAAAUUGAUACAUACAAGCCCCAGCUCCAUUUGGCUCGCAUGACACAUUUCGAAUGGACAAAAAAAGGACAUUUGAGUCUGCUGAAAAUCUUGAGAAAAGCUUGGUUGCCAUAGUGACUGGGCACUAAAAGCAGCCAUGGACCAUUAAACUCCAAUCAGAUGUAAAUUUGGGUUGCCCCCAAGCCCACGGACAGAAAGCCCCCUUCACACAGCAGACACAAAUUAAACAGUUUGUUUGCCAAUUCACAUGUCAUCUUAAUGGGUUUUUAUUCGUUUGGCCUUUGUUUAAAUGAAGAGAUUUAUAAUAUUGGAGCCACUUCUGCUGUCUGUGCAAAGUCAUUCAUUACUGACUUUAAGUCAGAUGGUUGAAAGAGAUAAAGGACUCUUAAAAAGUGUAAGAUGUUAAAACAAGAGCCACCAGAAUGAUCCUUGUAUCCAGGAGAAGUUGAAUGCUGUUAAACAAUACUGCUGUGUGACAGUGGUGCAUUAUUGAUUGAAGUAUUGUUAUUUCGCCCUUGUGGAACAUCUCUUUAAAACAAUAAUAGCACAAUCAUGGCCUGUCAGUUUUAUAUUAUUUUUAUACACCAAAAAGCUAAUCUGAUGUAUUUUUUUUAUCUACAUAACCUAUUUAUUAACAAGAAAGCUGUCGCCAGAUAUGUACCCCAGUAAAACUUGGAAACAAUAUUUUCAGAUUUAACUCUCUUCUCUACUUUAUCUUGCUUCACAAAUUUCCAUCAGCUACUUUUUUUCUCCAUAAAAAUGCUGUGUAACACAGGAAACAAGGUUUAUGGAAAACAAUGAGCCAAUGGGUGACACUGUCUCUAGGACAGGAAGCAUUGUGCCCCUGUAAUUUGGUAGAGAAAAUAUUUUGCUGAACUUGAUGAAUAUUUUGCUGGACUUGAUGGCUGGAGAUUUGUUUGAGCAUGGUACGCUGUUUGAAUGUGCUUCAAAGUCAUGUCCUGUGUGUGUUGUUAUUGUAAUAAUCAGGCUUAUUAUGAUUCACAUUGUCUUGUUUCUGUUCAAGUACAGGCCAACUAAAGUCUUCAGCAUUAAUCUGCUUCUGAUUGCUGCAUAACUUGUCAACACUCAGUAAAAGUAAUUCUCAUACUUACGUUAUCAUAUUUGCAGUCAACAAGAAGGGGCGCAUUCUGUAUGCUGUAAUUACCAUUAAACACUUAUAGCCAUCAGAUAUAUGGCAAGAGCACAGAGAAAAGUGUAAUUGAUGUGAUGAGACAACAGUAAUUAUGUGCGAUAAUUGGUGUAUUUAUUGCAGAGAUGUGAAAAAGCAUGGCCACAAGUUGCAGUGUGAAGGACAUGUAAUCCUUUACACUAUAAGAUUUUAAAGCAACUUUUCAAGCCCCUCUGGCGUAUCCAAGUCAGCACAUGUAAAAGGGAGGAAUCAAAAGGAGAAACUGCUGCUUGUUUAAUGAGGAGUAAGUGUGUGGUCCUGUUUCUCUGUGUCUUCAGGAGGCUGCAGCCGGUCUUGUCUUUCCCUCUUCCAUGUUCUGUUAUGACAGCAGCGGACAGACAGAGCGCAGCGUGGGCUCCCACUGGCUCUGGACCAAGCUGACCUGGGACCUGACAUUACCAGUAUAGCUGCAGCUUCCCCAUUGCUAGCUCUUUGUUGCACAGUGCAGCUAACGAUGCCCUGUCUAUCUGCUGUGGUGUCUUCCAUGCAGGGCCGGGCGAAUGCUAAUUUGACAGAGUGAUGAUUAACUGCAACAGCCACAGAAGCAAACAGCCUCAUGUUCAUAUGUUAUUGUUUCCAGUGUCGUACCUCCCACAGAGAUUUGACUGCUCUAUUAACGAGCUAUUUCAUGUCUUUAGGGGAUAUUUAUGUGGCGAUGCAGCUUCUGUUUGUGCCCAGGAAAUUUUGUUUUACUUUUUUAAACAUGAUUUUAGAUGUUUCUUUGAUUGGGAGGAGUUAUAAAUUCAUGUGGACACAAAAUUAAUGUCUACACAAGAUAGCAGUCUUAGACCAUGCCUUUGCCUCCCUAGGCCUCUUUUUAUUCCGACAGAAUAAAGAGGAGGCAGGAUGCUGCACUGUCUGGCUGUCUGGUGUCAACACAGAGCUGUGUCUUGUCCACUGGUGGCUGUGGAGGAUUCAUUAAAGUCCACAUUCACUCCCCCUGCACGUGAGUGACAGGUCCCUAUAGCCAGUCUCAUCCCUCUCCCUAAAGCUCCACAGAUCAUCCCACUCCUCUUUCGCCCAUCUGGUUGCCUGAGACUAACAAGGGGUGUCCUCCUGCUUUAAGAGGGUAAAAAGAGAGGCAGGCGAAGUUAAAGACUUGAAGAUCCCACCAGAUUCUCUGUGGUCUGUGGGCUCCAAUUAUUCAGAGCUUACCUUUUCAGCUUGGCUGAUCUCUAAAUGAAUAAAGUGGAGGCCGCAUUACUGCUGGCCGGGUGCACGUCUAAAGAGGCUGAAGGAGGAUCAGGGCUGUGGGUUAUGGUGUCAAUCUGGCCCUGACCCCCAGGGUUAGGGAGGUGACGUUAUGUAGUGACAGCACCCAGGCAUCCCCUUGUAGCACCUCCAUUUAGAAGCAGUCUGGAUAAAUGGAAGAGGGCAAUCACAUUAGAGGAGGUUUCUUUCCAUUUUAGAGCAAAAGCGAGAGAGAGAAAGAGAAAUCUGUGAUCACAAAGUGACUGACUCUUGACUUGAAAGUCAGCUCCAAGACUGAGGCAGGAGAAGGUGGAUGUCAGGAGGUUAAUCUGGCACAGUAAGUGCUGCUGCUGGUGUCAAGAGUCAUACGGAUUAAAAGAUGCCUAAGUCACUUUCACACAUAGAUGAUGUGGACUUUGUCCUCUAAUAGAAACAAACGACACAUAUUUUUACUGACAAUACAAUUUCAGAGAGACCUUUUUUCAUGGUUUGUAUUUUUAAAACAACGGCAUGCACAUAGUUUCAAUAAAACGUAGAAUUUGGCAUUUUAAAUAAUUGAAAGGAUUUCAGUGCAGAAUUUUUCACUUUUUUUGAAGCAUGCCCCUGCGAACAGGAUUUCUCUUGCUGGGUUUAAUACUGGCCAGAUAUCCAUCACUUGUGUUUAUUUAAACUUUCUUACUAGAUCUGAGAGAGACUUAAAGCCCAGUAAGCCUUUUCCCUUUCAGAAAGUGGUGGAAUAACUGAAUCUUGAUAUGACAGACCGAUUCAAGAGCCCAUUUUCAUCAUAAUCACUGCACCAUGGACUACAUUUGAAUAACAUCACCUGUAUCUUCAAAAACACUUUCAGAGUUUGUUUUAUUUCCACACCACAGGGUUCACUGAAGUGACACCCAUGGACCAAUCCCAUCUGCAUUUGGCUGUGAGCCGAGCACAAUGGGAGACUGGUGGGCCAUCGAUUGGCAGCAACUCUCCCAUCCCUGAGAAUCUCCUACUCUUAGAUCUUCCGACAAGUGCUGCCGAUGCCGCUCUUUUCUUUUGCCUUCAUGGAGAUGGCUGGGAGAUUCUCAUGCCACCACACAAAGCCUAAACAAGUGGGUAUGUCUAAUUCAAUUAAGUCCACAAGGCUGUGCCAAGUGGGCCUGGGUCCCGUGUGACAGGGAUAAUGAGCGGGCAGAGACAAGGAGGAGGGGGGCAGCUUCUGGGUUAUAGGAGGCUAAAGCGAGAGAGACCUGAGCUCAUUCGGAUGUUCAUACUUUAUUCUUUUUAUCUUCUCCUCUCAGCUUUAAUGUUGCCAGGAAACCCCGGCUCAUUAUGUGUCCAAUGGAAUAUUUUGCAUUCCAGCAUCGCUCUUCAAAUGUGCUUAAUGAGAGAUCGGGAAAUACAAAUAGCCUGACCUUUGAAUUCCUAAAAUUCAGCGCAGAAAUGUUUCCUAAUCUGGAUUCUUUUCCACUGCUGAGGACAGCGUGACAUACAAAAUGUGUCAGAGAAGAGAAUCUGACCCACCUCAUGCAAGUAUUGUACCAUAUGAGUAAGGAUGACAUUGUUUUGUCAUCAGCCCUAGUAUAAACCAUAUUCAUCACAGUCCCCCAACCUUAAUUUAGUAAUUAAGUAAAAGCAAAGGAUUAUCUCCACUUAACUCAAAUUUUUAUUAUUAUUAUUAUUUUUUAUAUUUUGCUUAAAUCCAACAAUAGGUAACCUCUACUACAGAGAUGGCUCAACAAACAGAACAGACACUUGAAUAUUCUUUUGUAAUGUCUUUUUACACCUUUAUCUUUAACUAAAUACUCUUAAUAUUUACUCCAACAUCAUAAAGAAAUUAUUCCUUAACGUUUUUUUGAAAUCAUGCCAGCCUCUUUCAGUGCUGAGAGAGCAGACACAUAGGAUCCAUUUUCAAAGUCAGCGUUGUUUUAAUGCAACACCACUGACCAAAUUAUUUCUAAAUGCAACAAAAUCCUGUAGUUGGAAUAAAUCAAAUUAUGAUCAUGGUUUAUCAUCAGCAUUAAUGAGGGGUGAUGACAAUAAAAUGUCAGACUGCACCUCUUAAAGCUGCUUUGUUAUUUGUUGACCAGUCACAAAAAAAAACAUGACCAUAAUAGUCCUUAAACUAAUCCUCUAGUCAGUGCCUAGCUACAGGUGGCUAUGCUGAAUGACUCACAACAGGAUAUGAUGUAAUAUGCAGCCCACCAGGAUUAUAUCAUGAUACAGUAAUAUUGCAAUGAUAAAUAAGUUGAAAGACCAUCAUAGAAAUAUAUCAUGAUACUUGAGUAGUUUAAGUAAUGCCUUUAACCUUCUUCCCGUGUUAACUUUUACUACGCACCCACCAUUUUAAGGGUCGGUUUCAACCUGUGUCUUAAAUCAGCUGUAAAUUACACUAAAAACAAUUCUCUAUCAUCCAAUUUGAUUCUCAUCUCUCGGUUACCUUGCUAGGCUUCAUAAUCUAUGAAAAUAUUGCUUAUAAUAGUUUUUGUUGUGGUCCUCUGGGCCUUUCUUUGUCAGUUUACCCCUCAUACAGACAUCUAUACUGAAUUGAUCUAACAUGUCUGGACAUGCCCGAUGUUUUUUUGUGCAGGGAAAAACAUGGCAAAAUGAGAAUUUCCUAAAUCUCACAUGAUUGGAAGAGGAUCUGACUGUCAGUAGCUACGUUUACAUGGAGCCAAAUAUUCCGAAUAUAAUCGGAUUAGAAGCCCAAUCGGAAUGAAAAUGCUCCAUAUAAACACCUCAUUCGGAAUAAACAGGCCCAUUCCGAAUGGAAUUUCAUUCCGAUUCACAGGGGUAGAAUUUUCCUUUUCCCAUUCCGAUUAAAAGCAAAAUCCUGUCAUGUAAACAGUGAAUCGGAAAGUUGUCAGGCUGGGUUCUGUCUGCGCAUGCUCUGUCCUGAUGUAAACAAGCAGUGACGUAUGACUCACAUGGAAACAUGAUGGCGGCUUCCAAGCAGAGCACGAUGCACUGGUCUGCGUCGGAGAGUUUGUUUUUGAUACAAACUCUCAAAGAACUAGACAUUGUCGCACGCUUAGACGGUAGGAAAACACAAAGCUGUUGCUUUAAUAAAAGUGAAAAAACAAUCGCUACUACUCUGCUUAACAGACGAAAGACCUCCAUCUUUGAUCAAUCACGUGAUGUUUGAAGGUAUCACGUGUCUGUAAAUAGCUGUUCCGAUUGAAUGCCGUGGCACAUGUAAACACCAGAUCAGAAUAGAUCGCUUCCAUGUAAACAGUUCGCCUGGGAGCUUCAAUCGGAAUGAUUAUAAUCCGAAUGAGAAAAAAGUCUGCAUGUAAACGUGGCUAGUGUGGUGCCUGACAGUUCAUCUAUGAUUUCAGUUUUUGCUCCUAUCAUUUGAUAUUGAUCUAACCGGAUCAACAGCGACCCUAACACAAUUGCCAUAAUUUUAAUAAGAGCAUUUUAUAAUUUAGUCAGUUUAAUUUUUUUGAUUUUAUUGAAAUAGAGGUUCCUGACAAAGUCAUAAAGUCUUGAUGCAAAAAAGCUCAUUUAAGUGGUUCUUUUAAGCAUUUAAAAACAAAAACUGGUCAGUGCAGACCCUAGGGGACCCUAAGGAGGGUUAAAAGGUCAUUUCAGGACUGAUGUAUUAUUCACUGCAGUUUGGUUUGGUUUCACUGAAAUGAAACAAAGUAAAUAACCGCUUCAACAGACAUAAAACAGGGAUUUGUAACAGUUUGGGUUAGCCAAGUUCUUCCCUGUUGUAGUUUGGUGAUGAAUACAUUUUUUUUUGUGUGUGUGUACUUUUGGAAAUGUUGGUGCUCUUGGGCUGGUCUAAAGAAUAGUUUUGUCUGGGCAGAUGUGUCUGGAAAGGUUAGUGACAUCUACUUAUCCAUUGUCAUAGCAGAAAGUUGCUAAAUAGCACAGCAGUCAUGGUUGACAGGGAGCUUGGCAUUGUUAAAAAAAACCUGCUUUUCUGCAUUUUCAACACUUUUGACUUCAGCUGGGAAGUAUCUCAGACCUGAGAGGCCUUUAGUUUCAGUGAAGUCUCCAAAGGACUCCUGCUGCUCCACGGAGACCCUUGUCCCUAACUGGCACAAAAAGCCCCUUAAACGUUUGACUUUCUCACAGAAACAGCUUGCUAAAUAGUAUUUCUGUAAUGGACUCCUGCUAGGGUUCAUAUGUGUUGUAUAGCCACAUUGCACAAAGUUGAGUCAACAUGAUUACCAUGAGAAUGGUCCCAAAGAAAAGCCCAAAAAGGGUUUUUUGAAUAAAAUGUGAAACUAUAGAAUUCUUUGUUUUCCCAGGAAAAAAAAGAUGAUAAUCAAAGACAUCGAUGGUCAUUUUUCUAUCAGAAAAGUGCUGCCGGAUGAAUGUCUUAUUUACAUGCCAAUGGAAAAGGCCAUGGUUUUAAAAGGAUGGGAAAGCAGGAGCCUCUAUUAUAGUCGAGCUGGUCCCAGAGGCUGUGGCUACUCCGGCAGCCUCCCUGCCAGGCUGCGGUUAACAAGGCCUUGGCUGAAUUAAAGAAUGGCAAUGAGUUUUUAAUUGGUGACACAUUAUAUUUAUCAAGCUGACAGCAGAGUGACUGCACUGCAGCCUUCUUGUUUUGUCCUUGUGCACGCAUUACUUCCCCCUAUGUGCCCCUGCAUGAUACCCCCUAUCUGCCAGGGUCCCUCACGUGUGAAGAAAGAAGAAAAACAUUAUAAUUGAGCAUCAAGUUGAAUGAUAACACUGAAUUAUUCAUUAGGGUCUCUUAAAGUGUUGGAUAAAUCAACCCCCCUCUCUUCUUUUUUUAACAAAAGCUUGUCUUUGUCCCUCACUCCAAUCACAGCAGUUUAAGGCUUAGCAUAGAGACAAGUCCUUUUCAGGCCUUUUUAUCCAUCCUGACAGAAGUUCUGCUGUGGGGCCGGAAAAGUUAUUAACAAGUGUUUAAUAUUUGGAUGGGAGGGUUUGGUCACCUCUUUUUCUCAUGUUGUUUAUGAGUGGACCUCCUAUUCACCAAGCUGCUUGUGACUUAGAGCUGAAUAAUGGUGCUGAAUGUUGCUAAUGUGAGCAUAUGUCAUGAAUAUAUUUGAAUUUCAAAAAAAACUUUUAUUGUUGAACUUUUAUGAUCAGUUUUAGUGUAUUGAAAAACUCCUGUACAAUGUUUAUUAACUUCCCAGUGAAUGACUUGCUCUUAACUGACUUAAACUGUUAAAGUGGUUCAUUUAAAGCCUGGAAAAACUGAAUCAAACCUUUACGCAGGAGCAGGAUGUGAAUCAUUUUGCCCAGAAAAAGGUAUCAAAUUAUAGAAAGCAAAAAUUUGUGCCAUAAUACAUCCAAAUUCAUUUAAAUUAAGUCACUUUCAUGAUAGUAAAGACAUCAAAGCAAAGGUAUGAAAAUCAGCUAUAAAAGGUUUUAAUGCCAAGUGGCUGUUGAGUGUAAAUUCUGUGGCUCAGAAAGCAUGUCAUGUUGUAAUUUUUUGCACUGUUGGUGCUCAUCCUAAUUUCCAAAGGCUGUAACAGAUGUUUUUCUUCAGAUUUAUUUUAAACCCUUGUUGUUUUCAAGGAACGCAGGUCUUGGACAAACUCUUUUGUAGCACUGGGGGCGUUACCAAAGUGUAGGGGAUAAAAAAUAGAGGUCCUGGCUAGUUCUUCAGAACGGUGAUGAAAGACUGGGAGCUGGGGGAAAGAAGCCUAAUGAAAUAUUUAAGAUUUAGGCUAAAAGGGAACUCUCAAAAAGUUUUUGUAACAAAGGGGUCUGCCGAGAGCCUCCAUUGUCCUGGGACCAGGCGGAAGCAGGGGCCAACUUGCUACAGAUAUGAGGAGGGCCCAUAUUGAGCGGGGAUGUGUAGGCUCUGCUCACAGCUGUGUCGCUGCACUCCCGCCCCAGCCACCAGCCCCCUGCCUUUGUGCGCCUUUGUGAGGGCCGCACAGCACCGAUUUUACACCGAGCUGAUCGCACAGCAACGGCUUUGUGUUGCCGACAAGAAAGCCACGCCCAUUCUUGACCACCGGUGCUCUACGCAUCAUCGACACACCAACACAUUCAUCCCAAUCCCAUCAGCCUACACUGAUAUUCAGCCUUUUUAUGACCAGAGGAUGACAAGGUGAUGAAUUCUCUUUCAGUGGGCUGAUAUGAACUGUGGAGGUUGGUGAGGUGGGGGUAAGUGGGGUGGGGUGGUGUCUGUCUUCCUGGCUCCUUGUCCAGGAUCUGCCCAUUUAGCGCCUAACUGCUUUUGAUUAAUGGAGGGCUCAUUCUGUGUAACAUAUGCCAUUGAGGAGCCAAGAAAGCGACCACGUCUGCUGAUGUUUGUGAGUAAUGAUGUCACAAGGUCACAGCGAGUAGUUUAGACACAGAAUGAGGGAAACAAAAGAAGAAAUUGAGCUUUUCUGUUUGUUAAAGAUCAGUUGAUGCAACAUCUGUUGGGAAGUAAAUGUGUUUAAGUCCCUGUUUAUUAGUGAAGAGACAGGAUGGGAAACAACUGGCAGUAUUUCUUUCUCGUUAGCUCUUGUUGAGACCAGUUUUAUCCUCUCCUCUCGCAGGAAAGGGAAUGAAAAAGUGAGAUCACUCUUUCAUUUGGUCUCUCUUUUUCAAACAGUUAUGGUUUUGUACAUCUGUUUUAGGUCUUGUAUUAGACUUUCUGCUUUUAUGAUUGUUUUUACUCAGAGAUAGCUUAAAUACUGAAAUAGGGGUAACACCUUUGAAUUUUUAAUCUCUGAGUUGAUGGUUAAUGUAGUUGAAUACAUCAGAUCUGUACCCUACGUAAUACAUGAUCUGUCCCAUCCAGGCACCAUUGAGGACAUUUCCUUAAAGGAUGUUUGGUCCAGGGUCCCCUCUAUCAUAAAAAAUGAAGACAUAUUGUUUGGUCCAUGUCUCUCACAGCUGAAGCUGUAAUUAAACAGAGUUUCACUGAGGUCAGUCAACUAAGAGUUGUUUUAACGCCUUGAUUCAACUUUUACAUGUUAUGUUGUUACUGUAUGUAACUAUGCAAGUAGCUUGGCUGCAGAUAAUACCACUGUGUAUGGAGUGGAUAAAAACAAAAUCAUAAAUAUCAGAUACAAAGUGACAGCUUAGUAGGAAGACAUUAGUAAGAGGAGAGAGAAGGCAGAGCCAGGGUUAUGCUGUCCACUGUACCUCCCACUAUUCCCCUAUCCUCACUCUAACAUGGGAUGUGAAUCAGUGAUGUAUGGGGAGAGAUUAGAUAGAGGAGAUAGAUAUAAGCUUGUUUGGGCUGUGAAACUCGUUUUAUAAAAAUAUGAUAGUGUUUUUUGAAAUUCAACUAUCAAAUUUACUUUCUUUUCCUCCAAUUUCACACAUAAAGUACUGCUUUGUUGCUCAGGAUUUUUUUGAUUUUUAUUUACUGUGGCUAUAUGUAAAAAUAGUGACUCAGACAAAAAUAAUUACUCCGUAAAUUACAGGCUGUAUCAAAGUUUCUAAAAAUGUUUCAACAUUGUUUGAAAAAUUUCCUAAUUCAGAAAUACUUUUCCAUAACUUGACAAACUGAAAAUCUUCCUUUCACACAAAUAAACAAAAUAUUUGCAAAUUUCUUGAUUACACUCCAUGGUAUUUAGCAAAUUACUUUUCUUUAAAUUGGAGGUAUGUGCCUCUGGGCUUAAGUAAGAGUACUCUGUUUAUAUUAUUUUAAUAUUGGUUAUGUACUGAUUUAAAAACCUUUUGUCUCCACUGACUUCUUAUAUGAUGGCAGAUACAUCUGACAGAUUUCUCAAAUCAUGCAUUAUUUAUCUAAAACCCUUAAAAUGGCUUAAUACAAACAUCAUCGGUUGUAAAAGUCAUGUUAAACAUAGGGUAAAGCUGUUGGACUACUAUAUUGUUACCGUAGGUGUUUUCCACCAAAUGAGACUUGUUGUACUGCCAACAGGAGGAUACACAGGAGACUAGCAAUGACAUCACUGAGGUUGGAAAGUCCUCCCUCUAAUGAUCCUCCUGUGUUGUGUCUGUUUGGAUCUGCCAUGCCAGAGUUAUGGCUAACACACAGACUCACUCCGGUGGGAAGCUAAAUAGCCUUUAAUGCAGCUGAGGCACUAUAAGAGCUUGAUGCAAACCAGACGCAGGACUAACCUGUUAGCCACCCCUCUUUAAUGCCGGGGUUUGCUAGCUGCACUUUCUUGGGACUUUGUCUCUCUGCUCUUCACAAAGACCUGUCACGUUUAAUGGCCUGUUGGCUGAGUGGGCUGCUGUAGCACUCUCCAGAAGAAAGCCCUGCGAAGAAAGGCUCAUGGUCGGCUAAUGCAGCUUAAUAUUCUUUAAAAAGGUUCCGGGGACAAUUAAGAGCGUUUCCCAUGGUUCUCCCCCCAGCGGUGCGUGGCUGCCUGUGCAGCAGCUCGUCUGUUUGAUGGACUCUGAAUACAUCUUAUUGAUGGGGGUCAGAGAUUAGAAGCAGCCGUGCGAAAGGAGGAGAGAGAAAAGAGGGUCCUACAUGGUGGCCUCACACUCACACACGUACUACUUCAUAGCUCUUCCAUUUGUCUGUCUGGUAUUCAUCUGAGCUGAAUUAGUGAUUGAGUGUUGCAUGUCUUCUCACAGGGAUUCACAGACACAAACUUCACUAAACUGUUGUGUUUCUCUUUACCUCCUCUCCACUAUUAACAUGUUUCACAGCUACCCCUUCUGGUUACAAAUAGUGACCAGAACCUGUCAAGAGUCUUUAAUGAUGGCCUUAAAAGUGGGCCACCUGAAGUCUGAGUUCCUUUUGCUAUCUUUUGCUGUUUAUGUCCUUGUUUUUCUAGCAAAGCAGAGCACUACUAUAGAAAACGACCACAGUGCAGAUGCCACAUGUGUGAGUGUGCAGGGUCAUGACCCCAGCAGCAGAGGCCUUAGAGGGCAGAGCAACCACACAUUUUUGACAACACCGACAGAAACUAAAGGACGAAUAAGGAUAAGACAAAGACAUACUUAAGUGCACGAGGGUGAGCAGGGUUGCAUGUGCAUUUUUGCAGACGUAACAGUGCAUGCCUUGGUCAAAAUAGAAAAACAAAAACAUACCUUCUUGCACUUGAGGUUGUCAAAAUAGAUACUCAUCCACACCACAUGGUUUGACGUUAAAAAAUCUCUGUUAUUUCUGUGUUGGAUAGGAUCAAAAUGUGUCAAAGUUUAGCGGUGGUUGAGAGACAGAGAAAAAGUGAAGUGAGGGAGCACUGCCAACAAGAAAGCGUGAAACUGAAAAAUAAGUCAAUACUGACAUUGUAUUAGGCAUCUCACAGACAGAGCGGAAGAGAGGGAUAAAUGGUGGUCUGGUCUCCUUUAUUCUGUAUGUUUUCUUCUGUCUGCUGACUGCUAACAUUGGGGCUCACACUUCCUCUGGGUUAUGAAUGAUAAAGAUGAGAAAUUUCACUCCUUUCAUUGUUGUCUAAAGUAUUUGCAAAGUGACCUCUGCACCAGGACUGUGUGCAGAUUCGUGGUUGACCAAUUACAGUCUUCAAUAGCCAGUGCUGAUACCGAUAUUAAGAGAGCAGUUUGGCUGAUGGCUGAUAUAUAAUGCCAAUAUCAUAUUGUUGUUUUUUAUUAGUAAAAUAAUUCUAACAAACGAGAAACAAUAUUGCUGAAUUCGAGUGAAUGGCUUGAUGUAGAUGGAAAAAUAUUAGGUCCAGUAAAAUAUUGCCACAAGGGACUUUCUGCCCGGCUAUGUGGAAUAAGCAAGAUAGACAGAAAAUAUACAAGGUAAAUUCUGAUAUAACUGUUAUUAAACUAUAUUAUUCUACACAAUGCAUUCAUCCGAAUUUAUAUUGAACACUAGUUGGUCUUUAACUCGAUAUGCUGUAAAAUGCAUUUUUAUUUAGAAAGAUAAUGGUGAUAUCGGCUUUGAUGUGGAUUAUGUCAAAAUACUGUUAAUCUGCUUGAUGUCUUUGAAGGUUCUCAUUGUUAAUCUGCAUGGUUAAUCACUUUUUUCUCUACUGCACACCAAAGCAGUGCAAUAAACAAAACAACAACCCAAAUUUUUAUAAUUUUUGUCCACAUUAUAUCAAGACAGUUAUCAGUAUUGUUUGAUUGUAUUGUAUCAAAGUUUGAUAUCCUGAUAUAUACCCUAUUUGUGCUACCACUCACAUUGCUGAAUCAGAGAAGUGGUCAAACUCACAAACCAACUACAUUUGCUGUCAUCUUGUUGUAACUAUCUAUUAUCCAGCAAAAACCAAUCCAGAUGACACCAAAGUAGAUAUCAUGUCAUGCAUAAGUAUGGAAAUAAUUUCAUCCUUGAUAUUUUCUUUCCUCUGAUGACCGUUGUGUAUAUAUGUCUCCUACUGCUGCAUGACUAUUUUGUGUCUCCUAAUAUAGGGCAGUCCUCCUACAGCUGGAGAUGACCAUGCAGUGGCAAUUGUAGGAGUGUUUUGGGUCAAGGAGAGAGCAGGGGUUUUGUUUGCCUCCAUCUCAUGAUUGAAUGGCCAUGUAUAGGAGCAUGAAAGAAAAGGAGCCAAUUAAGUGCUGGGCGGCUCGAUUUUUUUUGUCCUGUGUUGUAAUUAGGCCCAGGCUCCAGAAAACUUCCUCAAGUACCUUUUGGGUUGUUUUGUUGUCAGGCCAUAUCAUUAAGGCCAAAAUGAUCCUCCCAGGUGCUCACUGCUUGAAUAUGUUGAGAGACUAUGUAAAGAAAAACUGCUGUCCACAAGCUUUUGGGGCCUUGUAACACACUCAGUGGUCCAUACACAGUAGCAUGAGUGGAGUCCUUAGAUUCUGCCAAUCAAGCGGGUAAACAAUGAAACAAUAGCGUACGCGUUUCACAUUCGGGCGAUCAGAGAACAUAAAUGAACCUCUGGCAUCUGUGAUGUACAUUCAACCUCAAACUUGAGACUGAGUCCAUUCUCGAAAAAAUGAAGGAAUUCUUGUGGUUCCUUAGUUUUUACAAAAGCCCCUUAGAGCUGUAACUUCCGAUAUCUUUGAUGGUCCAGACCAAGGAAGUGAAUCACAUCAAUGGGCCUGAAUGUUUCGUUUCGCAUUACAUACCAGAUCCAGUCAAUCAGUUCCUGUCCCCCUUCACCACAGUUCGUAGGGUUUGCGUUUUCAAAUCUUUAUAUUUGUCCUUUCUGCAUCUUCAGUAAAUUACCUCUCCAAAUUAUUAUCAUAAUUAUUUUUUAAUCUUUCUUAUAUGUACAGUAUGUGUGAAAUAACCCUGACACUAAUGUAUAGGGUUAGGCCCCAGACACUGUCUCAGACAUGAAGUUUCAGCUGUGUGAAGUGAUUCAGGACAAAAGUUGCUGAAACCAGACAAAACAGGAACUGUUGGUAUGCAUAUCUGACCAAUUUAUCAGAUACCAUGACCCCAUAAACUCCCCACCCAGAGCCACACACACCCACACACACAUGCUGACACACUCCUCGACUCUGGGAAACAUGGAGUCUGACAGCUGCUGUCAGACUGGAAGGGGUGGGGUGGUGGGGCGCUAAGGGGCAUGGGAACGAUUUGAGAGUGCCAUGUUAAUAACUCACAAGUGUUUGGGCCGGUGGUCACUCUGAUAUUAAUGUGCCACCACACUCCUCCUGGUAUCUGACCCGAGGACACAUUCCUGGUGUAAUGGGCAGCAGCUGGACCAGGGGGCUUCCGGGAGGACAGCUGAGAAGAGUCAGGGGCAGGCCGUGGGGAACACCCACCAUUAUCGCCCCCCAGAGACCCAAACCUGCCCCCUCCCUGCUUACGGGUCCCUCCUACUCAGGAAAUCAUUUCAUAAGGUCCAUUAACUGAGACAAGUGGUUAUUUGGAGUAACAAAGCUUAUCAGUCAAUCAAUAUUUAUCCACGGACAACCAAAUUAAACCCUCACAUCAUUUUACAUAAAGAAUAGCUUUACACUGUUGACCUUGCUAUAUUGUUAAGUUAGAUAGUUCUUCAAAUCUUUGCUUUAGUGAAGAAAUUGGCUCUGCCGACUUGAAUUUGGAGUUUGCUGGUUUUACUCAGUGUGCAGCUAAGUAUCCAGCUCCAAGUGUUUCUUGGGCCAAGAAUGACCAGUAAUGGUCAUGUUGUUGUAAAGCUGAAAUGAGGUAUUUAGUCCUUUUCAUUGUGAGACUCCCUUUGUGUCGUCUUACUGCUUUUGUUCAGAAGUUACAUCUGCAGCAGUGAUAUGAUGUAUUAAAUGACUACUGAAGACCUGCAUUUGAUUUUCUGCUAAACUUUUUUUGGAAAACAAUAUCCUUAAUCAUGUUGGCUGUGUGUACAUCAGGUUAUUGAGUUUUGGAAAAUCUUAAAUCUGUGUAGCUCUAUAAAGUCUGGGUCUUGAAGUCAAACUGGCUUGGGGCCACCAUUUAUACCAUCAUCUUGAAGGGGCAUUCUUUGCAUAUUUUGGGACAAAUAAUUUGGUAUUGAUUACAUGGUUUACUGUGUCUAGUCUAGUGUCUAGUUUAGUCUAGCAGUGAUGCUUCAGAUCAUUCUCCUUCAGAACAUCCCUUCUUCACCAAACUCCUUUAAAAAUACAAGUGGUUGACUGCCACUGUUUUUACACUGAUACCAGUUGCGUUAGAGCAGAUCAGCCAGUGGCUGGAACAAACUGCUUAUCUGAUGCCCUUUUUUUUUUUUUUUUGCAUUUGAUAUUAAAAGACAAACAAAUUUAUAAUUGGAACCUUGUGGGCACCAAUGCUGAUGUGAUGCCUAUUAUUUCUAUUGUCUAGGUCUUGGCUUGUGUUGUUCUUGCCAAUAAGCAGCUUGACUAAACGGCAGUACAAUUGAUCAGUCUGUCUCUAAAAAGUACUCCAAUGUGCGUCUUUCUUGAAACUGCUUGUGUUCUUCAUUCACUUUCCUUUUCAGUUCAGAAAGAGAGAUCUUUGUCGCUAACAACCAAAGAACCACAGAGUCCCACCGCUUCCAGUCUCGACCUCUAAGAACCCACCUGGGUACAUGGAGGAACCUUUGGCCUUUGACCUUUGCUAUUAUUUAAGUUAUGCUGAAUGUAAUUGUGUCGAUAUGGUGGGGUGUUUCAAUGGGCAUGAAACAAGUAGGAAAUAAUGAAUCCGAAGUCAGUCUAUGUAAUCUAGCAUUACAUUUAUUGUUUAUGUUUUUGGCCAGAGGAAGGGAGGCAGAGGGCCGGUAAAUCGUAGGUUUGAGACAUCUGACAUAUUGAUCUCAAAAUGUGGCUGAAAAGAUGUUAAAAAAACAUCAUCACAAAUCAUGAAAGCUUGAAGUUCAUCAGUUACGUUAUCAACUUACAUCAGGUACAUCAAACAUUUCUCAGUCUCUUUUUCUUGUCCCUAACACUCUGUCUUUCUCUGUACACUGUUAAUACUACACCUAAAUGUAAACUAAGGACUUUUUUUUAAGUAAAUAAAAUAUUUUUUCAAAGGUGUAACACCUGACCAAACCAGUCCUGUAUGGUACAAGAAAUUUGCUAUAAUUUGCUAAAUUUGCUAUAACACGACCUUAUUUUGAGUAAUACUUAAAAAGAAAGUAGAAACUCAUACAGCCUCUGUGCUGCCAAUCCAAAUCCAGUCUUCAUCUUAAUGGGCAUUAAGUUCAGUCCACAGCUCAAACAUAACGCUUAUGAAUUAUGACAUCCACACACAUUUCUUUAGGAAAAACUUUGUGCAGACUUGGCUCAAGGUAGCCUUUUUCUUGUAAUGCUUUUUCAAUUCUUACAGGUUGUUCUUGUUUUUAAGGUAGCUUUUAAGUAGUAUGCUAGUAUUACAAAUUGAGUUUGUAAUGUCCCUUAUUAAAUAUGAAAAAAAACAAAAGCAUUAUUUAUUUAAUCCUGACAACCUCCCUCUCCUAAAACGAUAGAGCAACAGUUUGGAAAACUGACCCUGGGAGUUGAAAAGCCCACAGCAGUUUAAGCCAGUUAUAUGUUUUUGUUUUUAAUUUUUUUGAAAAUUACCUUCUUUUAGUCUGUAUGUGUACACAAGAGGUGGGAGCUGACACACAGACCUCAGCCUUGGCUGACGACCAGUGGCCUGAGCACUGUUGGCAGCAAGACCGUGAGAAACAGGGGGGCGACACCCAAAUGUCAUCACAGCUGCAAAACUGCUGAGCAUAAAGCCAAAUUACAGAAAUAUGUACCCCGAGGCCUCGGGCAAUGAAAACAGAGGCGCGUUUGAGCGUCUGCUGCCCGAGCAGAGCAGUGGAGGUUGUCCUGCGUUAUGUUUCGUGGGAUUUACUGGGAGCAGGGAACUCCAGAUUCCACAGCUGCUGGCAGACAUCAGGGUGCACGUGUGGGUGGUUGUGUGGGAAUUUAUAGUGGGUCAGCCUCGCUAUUAUCAUGCCAUGUUACUGCUCGUUGAGCCUGAUGCCCAAUGAAUGUGCUGUUCACAUACAGUAUGAGGGAGGGCCUGGCUUACAAUUGGCUACAUUGUGCGGACAGUUCUGUGACUGACAUGGAUGCUUGGGUUCACAGUAGCUCCAAUGUCUUUAUCUCUUGUGUGUGUUGUGACUUUUUUUUUAAGAAAUCUGCCCUCUGUCUUGUAUUUUUAAAGUUGUUGUGUGGACAGCAGGUUAUAUAAAAUCUUGGUGACUGUAUAUGUGCAAUAAGAGAUUGUUGGGCUGAAUGCCAAUGUGAAUCAAAACAUCUUUGUGCUGUUUUUUGCUGUAUAGCUUAACCCUAUCAUAUUGCGAGUCAUCUGGUGAUUCCCAACACUGGUGUUGCUAGACCAUAUGGUUGGUGUUACUAAAUCUGUAACAUGGACAGGAAUUAUUCCAGAAAACAUUAUUUCAAUAAUGGACAAUUCAGCAAAACAUUUUGGACAUUCAUCUGAAGCCACAGUUAACGCUCAGUAACAGUGUUGUUUGACAUGCAAUACUUAUAACCUUAAAUGUCUUGCCCUCGAAAAUACAUGUUCAGUGUGACCACUGUGGGGAAAGGGUCAAUGGCAGGUUAUGGUAGUGGCAACACAUCAAAAAAGACAAUAAAAUGCUCAUUUAAGAUAAGGACAAGAUUACGAUCGAUGUUCAUAAAACAUUAUGAACCCAUCUCGCCUGACACAGUGCCUGCUUUAGUAAAUGGCUCUGGCACAAAAAAAGGAUUUAAAAACCCACCAGUUUAGACUGUAAAAUACAGGAUCUACCUGCAUGAAUGUAGUUUUUGGUAACUUGGCUAAACUCCUCUUUGGUUUUUCCAUCCAUUGAUUCUGGCUGAUGUGCUCAGCCAAGUGUCAGAUUGCUCUUUUGAAUCAAUAAAUAUAAGGUUUUAUAUAAAGCUUUAAAGUGUGGCAUUAAGUUAUCAGGAUUUCAUCUACUUUUUACUUAUACCUUCUCAUUGAAAAUAGUCCUCUGAAUGCGUGACAUGAGACAAUUGUUAAAAAAAAUUACUUUUAUCCUAAAAAUAUGCUUUCCACAGGGCUUUGUUUGUGAAUGUGAAAUUAUCUUGAAAAUUCAAAACAACUGCUGUGGGGAAAUAGUAGGCAUGACUGUGUAUUUACCUAUACACAGGUGAGUGUCUGCAUGUUUAUAUAUGCAAGUGUACAACAGUAACACAGUACGGGUUGGUGUUUGUUUGUGCACGGAAAGGAAGCUGGGAAAGUUUGAGUGCAGCAGUAGCCCGGCUGCUGCCAGGGAGGUAGAUUUGUGGUUUGGAUGGGUUGGGGGGUGUUAGCUUAAGGAGGCGGAUGAAGAGAAGGGGUGUGCAGAGAGGGAGAGAGCGCCUGUGCUUGUGCCUUUCAAGGUGUGUUAUUUGUUCAAGGCUGUCCAAACAUUUACAGAGUGCUGGCAGCCCUGGAAUGCAGAGGCAGGGCUGAGGCUGAGAGCAGCAGCCGUGGGAAACCGCUGCUCUCCUCAACCUCUGCAGACUCGUUCCCCCUCGGGCAGAGUGUCAACACAGACUGUGCCAGAGAUGUGUGGGCCUGAUAGUGACAGGUCCCGUCAGCAGCCACACACACACGCACACACUUACACACACAGAUCUAGCAGGCACACAGCCCGGCUCAUUGCCUCGCUUGUGGGCUGACACAUUAACAGAGGCAGAAGCCAGAGGCACCCGCCUUCCAGCACACGUUCACAUGCACACACGUACACAUACAUACUCAAUUGUUCAGACACAGAUACAAACACCUAAUUCUUUAAAUCCUUUGAAAAAAUACACAGCAGUGUUCAGUAUUUCACAACUGCAUGUGUAGCUUGAGUCAGUAAGAUCACAUACUUCUCCAUAGCCAAGUGCCUAUGGUUUCUUAGUAUCAUUUGGCUCAUGUGAUGUUGCAUCCUGCACCAUAUAAACUCUUCACCUUGUGCAUGAAUCCAGAGAUUGUUUCUUGCUUGGCAGCUGAGUUGAAAAUGAUCUUACCCUCCAUGAUAUUCCAACCUCACGAUCAUAAGAAGGUCAGUUUCAGCCUGACAGCGUGUUUGUUAGAUCUGUAAGUGUUGAAUCCUAAAAACAGAGAGAAUUUUUGAGCAUCGCUUGCAAAAUUGACAUCAUCCAAUGUUAAAACCUACCUUUACCUGCCAGACAAUGACUGGGGGAAAAUUUUGGAUCUAUUGUUGGUCUAAAGUAUACAGACAUACAGUGUAGACACCAGAGGCGACAGCUCUCUGUAUAUAGUUUUAAAACAAAAUAUUUGCACCUAUGUAUGUAUGUUAAUGCAGGUAUGUUUCUCACUCAGCCAGCAUAUGCAACAACAGUUCCGUGUGUUCAUAAAAGAGUACAGUGUCGCACAGAUUUAGUGCCAAACCUGAAACAGCAGUAUGUCACUACAGCAGAUUUACCUUUGACACUUUAAUGUACUCUGCUGCAGGGGCAUGUCAAGAUUUUGCAGGGGCGGCAUGUUGUAAGAGAACAUGCACACGCACAUAAUUAGCAUUUUAUUUGGCUUUUAUGUCAUAUCAUUAUCAUAUCUACCGGCAGGCUGUUGCCUAACAACCCAAAUAGUUUAUCUUAAAACUCCUGUAAGAAACUUACAGUUCAUGUCAACUCUGGUGCCCUUUAUUGACAAAGCAGUCUUUGCUUGUCUUGUCCUUUCCAUGCUUAAGUAGUGACUUUCAACAAAAACAUCUCACUCUGCUGACUUUUGACAGUCAGACUUAUCAUUCAUUAUGAUUAUUGAUGUGGAAAUUGUAAUAACAGGGCUGUUUCUUCAGCUGCUUGGCUGCCACCUCCCCUUUGGCACUAGUUUCAGGUAUUAAAUAAGAUGACACAUGACUCAUCAACUUUGCUGAUCAUCCUGAUUGCUUUAAGAUACCAUGGAAAAGUAUCACUAUGAAUUUUAGUCUGCUUCAUGAAUGUCAAAAAAAAACUUCUGUUCUCUCCCCUGACAAGCAAACAACCAGCCAUAGGCCCUUUUUAGCAGUUCAGCAACUGCGUAUUGACAAAUCUCCACCAUCAUCCUGCUGCUUUUUAUACUUACAGACUAAUAACCCGACCUUUAUGAUGAAGAUGAGACUUUAUAUGAGCACACAUAUGGCACUAUGUAAAGAGCUAUUGAUUAGGGUUUUGGGGUGGCUCCUGUGGUGCUUAAUAAGCUUUUAAGGUGGUUUAUGCCUACCCCCUGACAGCCCCUCCAGAUACGCCCAUACGCCUCUUGGCAUGAUUUGAGUCAUGAUGGACAUUUCAAGGAGAGAGGAGUGAGGAUAGCCAGUCCCUUGACCAAAAAUUAAACAAUAAAAAUCUGUUCUUCAUGUAACCUAAAAUUUAUUUCCUCAUGAUCCACACUUCAAUUGAAUACUAUAGGGAAAGAUCAAGGGUGAGUUAACCUAAAUUAUUUUUGUUACGUCACCUUAAAUGCUUAAUGUUUACGCUUGUAGUCUUUGGCUUUACCUGCCUCAAUCCGGGUUCGUGGCAAAUUACAGGACUUCUCAAACUUCUUCUGGAAGUACAAAACAGUCAUGCAACUUUUUGCUCUUCUUUGUUAAACAGCAUUUCCCAUAAUUUGUAGAUGGACUGUGAAAGUUCAAAAUGCUACAUCCCUCAACAUGUUUCAAUGAACCAGGCAUGUAGUAGCAGCAUAUUAGGAACCUGCAUUUUAAAACAUCUUAUUUCAGGAAAAUAGAGACAGUGGUUUAACAUUCAUUCACCUGUUAUUGCUCCUUGUCAGUCAGUUUGAGGUGACAGUAAACAGGUUUCCAGGUGGGGAUCUGUUGGUGCCAAGCAGGAGAUCAGCACCAUACCCUGUUAAAACCGACACCAGGAAGUGAGCUGUCACUGUGCUCUGCUGCAGAGAUAUCCUGUGAUAAGAGCUGACUUCAGGAAGUUACCCGGGAGUUCACGUUGUUCCCAGGUGCAGAGCAAGUUCACCCAUAUCGUGGUUUAGCUGCACUACAAUCAGAAAGACAAGCAGUCCCAACUGAGAUAAUGCAGGACUGACUUUUUGAACCUCACACCGACUGACACAGUUUAAUAAAGGGUAAAAGACAAGAACAAACUCAACCUUAUUUUUGUGAAUGCUGCAGGUGUGUCCCAAUAAAUGUUUGAUUAUGGCUUAGGUUUCACAACUGGAACUCAGUCCUGUACUAAGUGGAGAAACUAAAACUAUUUCUUCUCCCCCUUUCUCUUCUUUUUCUUCUUGGUCAAUACAUUUUUCCAUUCUAACUGGUAGAUUUAUACUCUUUGUAGACUUCGAGAUGUCAGAAGAUAUGUGGAAAAAAAGGAUCUUAGCACUCAAGUGGCAUAAGGGAAGUGUUUCUGCUGUUUUUGGUUGUUGAAAGAAUCGGUUAAGAAACGAUCACUGCAUAGACAUUUGAAUGAUUUCAUGACAUGAUCUGUAAAACGCCUCUAUUUGUGUUUUAGGCUUCAGUCUGACUGUAGUGCCAGCAGCCUUUUUAGGAUGGACAGUGUAAAAGAGACUGUUUUUCUUCCCCAGCUCUCUGUAAGGUUACUGCGAUUGUGAAAAGGUUUUGUGAGAACCUUCACGAUUUGAUUCAAAAGACUAAUUUGCCUAUGUAUUGGCAAAAUAUCUACUGUUUGUGUACACCUGUCCCUGGGUCGUGGGAGCAGCUGCCUGACACAAAGGCAGAGGUGAAAGCUCCCAAACACAUACACACAAGCUGCUCAACGACGUCUCACACACAUAUGAUACUUUAAGAGUUUGAAUGUAUGACAAAGCUGAGUGAAACUUGCGCAUCACCCCCCUCCUCUUCCUCCUCACACAUCUCUUUGUCCUCGUGUCUGGCACACACACUUACCUGCUCCUUGUGCCCUGCAGCCACAUACACCUGCCUGCGCUGCUGGAGUGUCGUGUUUCAGCGGUGACGCAAUGCCCAACCAAUGAGCUGCGGUGAGAACGGUUGAGGAGCGUGGUGGGAACUCUCCUCCCAUCGCUCUUCUCUCUACCUGGGAACCAGUGCUGCCUCAGGGAGGGGCCCUCACAGCCGCCCGCUGUCUCAAUGAACACCAAACAAAAACUCCAACCAACAGGUGAGUUACACGAGUCAAUGUUGGUUUUUCUGUGGUCUAUUAUUUUUCCCUCCCCCAUCUGUUUUUUUCAUUCAUGGCUGGCACACUGCGCUACAUUUAUGCAGGGUUGAAAAAAUAAAGAAAGGACAGAGAAACAAAACAGUCAAAGUGUGGGAACUUUUCUCGUUCCUUUUUUCCUCAUCCAAGAGCUUUUAUCAGUAUUAAGUCUGCUUACACAGGUAUUUGUGCACCUGUGGCACUGGAUUAGUGGAUCAGCUUCUUUAUUAUGUGUGGAAAUAAGCACUGCAAGUUGUUUUUUCUACAGAUUUUCUGACUCAAAACACAUUUAGUCAUUUGUUGAAAGCUGAGACUAUCAAAGGAAAUAGUUUUUCUCUUAAAUUUGCGUGUCAAUUGUUUGAGUUUGUUUUUUGAUGUUUUCAUUUCAUAAGAACAAUAUGCCAGGUUACGCUUGACAGAUGUUUAAAGGGCUGAGGUUUUUUUCUUGAUGCAGCAAAUCCAAUAGUGCCUCCCUCAGUACAGAGAAGAGUAAUGCCUUUAUGAAAUAACACUCACCUUUCCCCACUGCACAGUUGGUGUGUCUAACAUCAACUACUCAUUACACCAACAUUAUCAGGUUAUAGAGGUUUUAAGAGAAAUCACAUUUGCUAAAAUAGAACUUUAAAAAAUGAUCAGAGUGAACCUUAUUUUGCACAGCAUGAAUACAUGAUUUUGACUUUUCCCUCUGGAUGCCUUAGACCAGUGGUUCUCAAGUCCAGUCCUUGAGCCCCCCCUGUCCCGCAUGUUUUGGAUGUUUCCCCGCCCCACACCUGAUUCAAAUGAUCAGCUCGUUAUUAAGCCAUUUCAGAGCUUGAUAACGAGCUGAUCAUUUGAAUCAGGUGUAUUGGAGCAGGGAAACAUCCAAAACAUGCAGGACAGUGGGGGGCUCAAGGACUGGAAUUGAGAACCACUGCCUUAGACAGACAACAUUCACAAAGUUUUUUUUUUUUUAAUUAAAAUUUCAGAUGCUUUGAGAAAGAAAAAAUUGUUUUGAUAGUUGUUGUGUAGUAUUUUUGUCUUACACUUGACUUACAGCCAUGAAAUGCUGCUUAUAAUGUGUUUAAUGAUCAUAUAGUUUUAAUGAAUGAGUUCAUAUGGACUUUGAUUACUGCAGUCUAUGGUUUCCACUCUCUCUUCUCAGUUUCCAACACUUUCCACAGUCCUACCUCUCUCUCGGUCAAGGCAUGAAAGUCCAAAUAAACUCUAAAAACUGGUAAAAAAUAGCUUUAAUUAAUAAUGGAAAACCCUACAUAUUCUGAUACAGUAGGGCGUGGUAUCAAUCUGUCAUUAUAUACAGUGAAGGGGAACAAAGAUGGCUGUAACAAGCUGGCCAGGAAGGACAACACCACAUUAUCCUGCAGACCAUGUGCUGCUGUAUUUCAAGAGGAGGGAAAAAGUCUUAAUGUUUUAACACAACAAAGUGUUGCUAAUUUAGUAGUAAGUGUUGUAAUGAUUUUAGUUUCUUUAGUAUCUUGUUUUUUCUGCCAUCGAUUCUGCCACAUAGUCAACAAGAAGAGGGAAAAUCAUCAAUCUCCGACUUCAUGGCAUGCGCUCCUUUGAAACUACAGACUGCACCUAUGAAGAACAGACUGCUGAAAGGGAUCAUACCCUGGUUACAGAUUCUGGAGAACUUCUUUUGACUCAAUCAAUCUGCAGAAAAUUCUGACGAAUUUUCAACUAAACCAUCAACUGAAGCAAAAAAAGGGAAAAAGCAGAAAUCAUUUACAGAUACAAAAACCCAGAAAUUAAUCGAAUUUGAAAGACAUGUCAUGUGAAUUAUAAACGAAGGGCUCCUGGAGUUUCAUCUGGGACUUAUUCAGCAUCAAACAACCACACAGAAGACAUACAAUAACAUGAGUACAUACAGCCUUCGUAUAUGUGCCUGCCAAUAUGUGAGAGCAUGGACCCUGUUACCUCCAUUACUUUGAAUGGACCUGAUAACAGGAUAGGCACCUACGUGUGAAAUAAUCCUCCCUCCUCUUUUACAGCAGCCUCCCACAGUGACGACCAUCCACUUGACUGCCCAAUAAAAACACAAGUAAAAGGC
Molecule: non-coding RNA, 41073 nt
Organism: Xyrichtys novacula (pearly razorfish)
Lineage: Eukaryota; Metazoa; Chordata; Actinopteri; Labriformes; Labridae
Source: the annotation of a GenBank genome assembly